CCUACGGGUGGCAGCAGUGAGGAAUAUUGGUCAAUGGGCGCGAGCCUGAACCAGCCAAGUAGCGUGAAGGAUGACUGCCCUACGGGUUGUAAACUUCUUUUAUAAAGGCAUAAAGUGAGGCACGUGUGCCUUUUUGUAUGUAUUUUAUGAAUACGGAUCGGCUAACUCCGUGCCAGCAGCCGCGGUAAUACGGAGGAUCCGAGAGUUAUCCGGAUUUAUUGGGUUUAAAGGGAGCGCAGAUGGGUUGUUAAGUCAGUUGUGAAAGUUUGAGGCCCAACCGUAAAAUUGCAAUUGAUACUGGGAGCAUGGAGUACAGGUGAGGGAGGCGGAAUUCGUGGUGGAGCGGUGAAAUGCUUAGAGAUCACGAAGAACUCCGAUUGCGAAGGCAGCCUACUAAACUGCCACUGACAUUGAUGCUCGAAAGUGUGGGUAUCAAACAGGAUUAGAUACCCUUGUAGUC
This 460-nucleotide ribosomal RNA is filed under the name uncultured bacterium. RNAcentral describes it as "partial 16S ribosomal RNA". It matches the Rfam family "Bacterial small subunit ribosomal RNA", at positions 338 to 795 of the family's 1533-position model. The record is from RNAcentral.